Long non-coding RNA from Pygocentrus nattereri (red-bellied piranha), 5625 nucleotides. RefSeq lists it as uncharacterized. NCBI's taxonomy places the organism in Eukaryota, Metazoa, Chordata, Actinopteri, Characiformes, Serrasalmidae. The transcript has 2 exons. The record is from RefSeq and is a predicted model, not a curated record.
AUUUUUUUUUUGCUUUUCUCAGUAACAUUUCUUGACAGCUACACAUCCUUUCGGUCCCAUAGCAUUGAAGGCUCUUCUCGCAGUAAAAGGAUGGACAGAAACGUGGGCGUUUUCAGAUAUGGGGCAUUAGUUGAUUUUCUCCUCAGCUUUAAAUUCUGUUUAUCUGAUGGUGACAGUUUUGGUGGUCUACCAGGUCUUGGAGUUUGGAGUCCCAUUUUCACUCUGUCUUUUAGAAAUGUUUUGAACUCCUUAUGUAAGUGGAUUAUCUUAUAUCUGCUUUCCUCAGAAAGAUCUCCUGAAGAAUGAAGAACUGAUACUUCAGAUGAUAGCCAUUUAAACUAGAUUAAACAAAAUUAAAUACAUGAAGACUGUUCUCUGACUUUGGCACAGCACUUUAUCUAUAAUAGUUACUAAAUGAUAAGUGUAAAGAUACAUAACUGAAUCAUAAAGCUAGGGUUCAGGCCACAGAGGUUGUGCGGUUCUGUCAUAUUUCCACUCCAGUGUAGAUGUGUGCGGUAUAAACACUGCUCUGGAGCUUAUCAGCAAGUCCAUAUUGAUAUAGUGUAAUGUGAUAUAGUUGUCAAAUUUGUCUUUCACUUUCUUCACAUUUGGCAGUAACUGUGUUGAUAUGGUAUGUUUUAUGCAUGUGGAAAUGAAACACACAUUUGAAUCAAGUUAAGUCAAUGCAUAAAUGUUUUCAGUGUUUUUACCAUAUAUUGAUGGGUUUUUAAAGGGACCAACAUGCCAGGACAAAUAAGAUGCAUUUCAUAAAGCGUGAUGUGGAAAGGCUGAUAGUGAAACACAUCACAGCUCUUUUUGGCUUAUUGACUCUGGCUCUGGUAGCGCCUGUCUGACUGGAGGGAGUGGAGUGAGUGGUCUACGGGAAGCCCCCCGGAGCCCUGGCAAGAGUGUGAGGCCGGCAAGGAGAGUCAGACGCAGAGGGAGAUUCCAGCUCUAUGGGUCACUGCUGCUGCACUAGCCAUGCAGCCCAUUGAUCUCCAGCCACUCAGGGGCCGUGGCACCAGUCCAAUUAAAGUGUGAAGUCCUCAGGGAGCACACACAGCGCUGCUACCAUGCCAGCAUGAGCAGGCACCAUUUCAUGCUGGAACAGCAUGAUCUCCACUAUAAUUCAGAGCCAUUGGAAUGGAUGGGACUUUGACACGCAAACAAAAAAUUUCUCUAAAGUAAAUGUUUCUGCUCGAAGCCAACUGUGAUUUGGAAUAGCAUUAUCAAAGCCAACUGUGCUCCGCAGGCCCCGACAGCUCAGAGAUUCAUGCUUUGCUGCGCACCCAGAGUAGUCCUACAAGCACAGUCUUAUACUUUAGUGAAAUUAUUACUGCUGAUGCUCUGUCCAAACUGGAUCUCUAUGAUUUACAUUACCCUGCUUGGGCUACGAUACUAAUCAGAGACCACAGUUUCAUAGAAAUGCUCUUUGCUAGUGCUCUAGAUCAAAGCAGACAUUACAUUUAGCAGUGAAGAUCUAAGAGAGUUUGAUUAGAGGUAAUCAAAGCCAAAGACCCCGAGCACACAGGAGUUACUCUUUAGAUUAAGCUCUGUCAGUAGAUUUACAGCAUGUUUAAUGUGCGUGUAUCUCAGUGAUCAGCGCUGAGGAAAAGCAAUGGCUGCUUCUUAUUGGAUUUGUUUCAUGUUGCUAAGACAACAGAGGUUAAAAUGCUGGAAGAUGUGAUAGUGCAGCUCAGCCAGAGAGAGAGAGAGGAAUCGACCAACAGGCUCAACUUCUUCUCAACUGUUUGAUUUUUUUUCUCUGUAAUUCCAUCUGAAUAAGGUUAAGAGGACCCUGUAAAAAAAAGAAUGAGAUCUCAUAUUGACCUGCUGCAAGUCUGUAUAAACUUUGGAGAAAAGCACUUAUAAGCAACAGCCUGAAAUUGCUUUGGCAACAUCAGUGCUGUGUUAUUUCAGGGUAACUAUUCCUCAUCUCUCUGGGACACAAUCCACACAGGUUAGUUCAUCCCAUCUGCCUUAGAAAGUGAACUGGAAUUGGAAGAUCAGCUUGAUCUGUUUGUGUCGAUUUACCUCCAGCGACAAAAGAUGAAAAUGAUGGUUUGUUUAUAAAAUGUCCAGGGAAUUAGCAAUUAACUCUGCAGUAAUGCAAUGAAAAAAAAAUCUCUAAAUCUAGAUUAAGUAAAUCUCAGUAUUUUAUGUGAAACAAUAAGUAUGUUUCUGUUUCAGGGGCCUAUUGUUUGACAUUCUAUUUGUAAUUUCUGUUGUAUAAAUUCAUAUUGAUUUCCUGAUUCUUAGAUCUCUUUUUAGAUAAACAAAAACGUUAAUCAGUUCCUGUCCUCAUCAAGUAGAAUUCUACAGAGUUUUCUACAUUUCUGUAUAAUGGCUGAAAUGUAAACAAAGUCAUUCAGAGUGGCUUAAUGAAAAAUGCACCAUUCUAAAGAAAUUUGUGGGGUCAGAUUUCUUUACAAUGGUGGUGAUAGGAACCAGAGGUUGUGAUGUCUGUAGCCAAAAUAUAUACAUUUUGUUUACUUUGCAGAAUGACCAGAAAACUUACACACGUCUUCUGAGUUUUUAUAUUUAAUGUUCAUAAUGAUAAAUCUGCUCUCCACUAUGAAUGGGUGUAUUUAAAAAAUAAGUUUUACACCAAUGUCUCAGGCAUCAGGCUGAGAAUCUUAAGCACUUCAUGUAAAAACUUUCUUUGAGGGAACUUUUGGUGCCAUUAAGCUCUUUGAAUGUCUGGUUCCAAUCACAUCGAUUUUUAUUUCAGUACUUUGCAUAAAGUUGGCAAAGUUGAAUUAAGGGUCACUCAUUUCACAUCAAUCAUGUUUCUUCAACAUUUGUUUUCUUACCAAUCGCAAAAAACUGAUUGCAAUCGUGUUCUGAAAUUUCAGCGUAUUUCCCUUGCUGUAUAGUGCAGAUACUGUUCUUGGCAAGCAAUGCUACUGUAAUAGUCAGCAGGGUUAUCUGUCACUGCCCUCCCUCCUGCAUACAUGGCCCUGACUGUCUUUAACCCAGCUGAUAACGCUUUAGCCCUCUCGUAAAGAAUAGGCCUCUUUUAAGUGAUCCAUUAACAUCCUGUCCCCAAGAGUCUGCCUCUGUCUACUGAAACUAACCAGGAAACCUUGAAGGAAAACAGGAUGGCAGACAAGCUCUGAGAUCAAAGACCCCCUUUCGAUUCCCCCUGCUCAUUCCCCAGACAUCUCCAGUCUUCCUCCCUAAUGUUUUCAAUUACAGCCUUGGAGAAUGUUUCAGAUUUUAACCUUAUCAAUUAGUCAGCAAUCCCUGUGUUUGGUUCUAAUGGCCCUAACUUAGCAGUAAAGAUUUAGUACCUGAGAGGCUGAUAUCAGUACAGGAAGGAGGGGUCUUCAUGUAGAAGAGAUUUACUGCCGUCUGCCCUGCAGAACUGCUCUCCAGCCCUGCACUCUCUGCUCUACGUUCGGCCUGCUGUAUCCAAUUGAUUUUGCCUCUUUUUUGGAACUCUCUGCACACAAAGAUUUACGACAAAAAGAGGCAUAAUGAGACUGAUAAAAGUUCUGCUUGCUUGUAAAUAAAGGUUCCUGUGAGUGCUGGUAUUGCAUAUUCUACUGGAUAAACUUGGGAAAAUACGAUUAAUAAUGUUUGACGUCUUCCCUUGUAUAAAGUUAGAAGCUGGCUCCCAUCCCUACGUUUGAAUUAGGUGAAUGACCCAUUAUUUCAUUCUGUAAUUUAGCAGUCAAGUUGCUGCAGCAGAACUGAUAACCUUUACCCUCCGUGUACAAAAGCUUUUUUUUUUUUUAAAUCAAACUACAUUCUGUUAUAGCAGCAGAACUGAAUUCCAAUAUUCCAAAGAAAGUCCUCCAGCUACAAUCACAAAAAUAUCUCCAAGCCUGGACUCUUAAAAAUAAAGGUGCCAAAAAGGGCUCCUUGCCAUCGAAGAACCGUUUAAGGUUGCCAGAGCAUACAGAUAAAAAAAUAAAUAAAUAAAACGACAACAACAAAAACAUUUAGUUGGUGUGUUUGAUUUUUGGGAGAGUCUCUUCUUUCACUCUGGAUCCUUUAGCUGUUCAGUUCUUUUUCUGGAUAUUCUUGUGGACAACUGAAAACAUCUGAAUGUUAGUAUUUCUUGCCGAAUGUUUCGGUGUGCUCCAGCCUUAAAAGAAUCUUUCAGUUAAUGGUUGUGUAAUGAACUAUUUUUACGCUUUAGCUUUGAGAAUAGGAAGAACUUCUUUAGAAGUUUCUUUUUAUAAAAUAAACUCUAUAUAAUGUAAAGAUCACCUACAUAAUAAAAAGGACAAUUAGGAACAAGAGUGUAAAAUAACAUACGGUGGAAAGAAAGAAGAACACAAGAAAAAUACAGGAGAUAUACAUUUGUUUUGACAUGCAAUGGCAUUUAAAAUAAUAUUGACUUAUUUAUUUAGUUAGUUAAUUAGUAAGUUGCAGUAUUUUUUUUUAGAAGAAUAACAGCAUUUUCUGAGUGGACCAGUAGUUUUAAAACUUUUUUUUCUGGGAACAUUAAGAAAAAAAUAAUAUUUUCCUUCCUUUUAAAGUUUACAUUUCAAAGCUAUUUAGUUCUCUUAUGAUGAUCUGCAGUAUCAUACGGCUUCCUGUAUUCAGCUACACCCAUCGCCAUGCUCAAACAGUGAGCUGAGAGAUCUUCAGGAGGUUCCAAGGUGCCAAUUGCUGGUUGUUGUGGCCGGCUCGGUGAGGCACUUGGGGGGGAGGCAGGGAGCUGGGGGGGUGGGGCUAGGCCGGGCUGAGAGGGGUCAGGGGGCUCCAGCUGGCAGGCAGGGGCCACAGUGGGACCUGGAGACGGGCCUUAGAGACGCCACCGUGGGGGAGACGCUUUCACCUGACUGAGCGCUGGCCAUGUGUCCACCCCAAACUGCCUCCACAACUCCACCACAGGGACCCCUGAAAGAUCCCUGAGAUGAAGAGCAAAACACAGAGUGGGCGUUCCUCUUUGACUUAUUGCUCUGCUGUUAGUGCCAUUCUACUCACUCUCUUUCAGAACAGACAAACUGCGAGCUCCAUUAUUAGCUGUAGUUUAGAAGCUCAAAGCCUUUGGCUGUGCUUUACUUUGAUGGCUGUCAUUAUAAUUAAAUGCAUACUGUGACCCUACAACAUGACACGGUGCUCAAUCACCCAUUUAUUCAGCCAGUCGACAAUUAAUUAGACUCAUAAUGCACAGCAUAAUUACAGACAUAUUUGAAUCAAUUGCUGAUAACAUACAGUGGAAUGAAUUAGCUCUGAAUCCUGGGAGAAAUCAUGUUCUGAAAGCGCAGAGGAGUUUUCCACCCACUAGAACAAAUCAAGGAAAUCAAGGAAAGCAGCCAGAGCUGUAACAGUCUCAUGUAGGACUCAUUUGAUUCCUGGAAAAUGUCUGUUCAUCAUCUGUCAACACUUUGAUGAAAAAUGGUGCCCUCAAAUAUGGCAUAUUUUUGUUAGCCAAAAAAACAUAACUUGUGUUUAUCAUUGAUGAACUUCAGCCACAGAGAGAACAAUUCACAUUCCACCGCUUAAGUGCAAUAAUGUGUAAUAACUGUAUCCGCAGUUUUUUUUUUUUUAAAUGUCUGGAAAAUUAGGAUGCUGUAUGUCACUCAUGUUCUUGACUGAGGUUUAUGCUUUAUCACUGUAACCUAUGAGAAAUAAAGUCUCUGAUGACACUGUCAUGUCACAACUCAA